RNAcentral lists this ribosomal RNA (253 nucleotides) under uncultured bacterium. Its description in RNAcentral is "partial 16S ribosomal RNA". It matches the Rfam family "Bacterial small subunit ribosomal RNA", at positions 524 to 776 of the family's 1533-position model. The record is from RNAcentral.
UACGGGGGGGGCAAGCGUUGUUCGGAAUUACUGGGCGUAAAGGGCUCGUAGGCGGCCAACUAAGUCAGACGUGAAAUCCCUCGGCUUAACCGGGGAACUGCAUCUGAUACUGGAUGGCUUGAGUUCGGGAGAGGGAUGCGGAAUUCCAGGUGUAGCGGUGAAAUGCGUAGAUAUCAGGAGGAACACCAAUUGCGAAGGCAGCUCGCUGGGACGUUACUGACGCUGAGACGCGAAAGCGUGGGGAGCAAACAGG